This is a long non-coding RNA of Felis catus (domestic cat), 3962 nucleotides long. RefSeq lists it as uncharacterized. NCBI's taxonomy places the organism in Eukaryota, Metazoa, Chordata, Mammalia, Carnivora, Felidae. The record is from RefSeq and is a predicted model, not a curated record. The transcript has 4 exons.
UGAGGUGGGGCCAGGGAGGGGAGAUGGUGGCGGAGGUUUGAUCUCCACGUAGCUGCCAGCGACCUCCUGUUCUCGGAAGGUAGGAGGAGCUCAGAGCAGGGAGCAGAGCGACCUGUACUUCCAUGAUGAAAGACAGUCAUCGCAGGGAGCAGAAUGUCCAGGAAGGAGGGAGGGAGGGAGACCAAGGAAGGAGGAGGCUCCUCCUUCACUCGCGUCCUCAGGUCCCAUGUACGCCACGUGGGUGGGAGCGUGUCACACACACCCACGCGCCCACAGCCACACUCGCCGCGCUCCCGCCCGGGCCGGGCCCAUCUCGGCGAGCCUGUGGGCGCCGGGCCUCAGCCGGCCACGCCGCCGCCACCUGCUGCUGCGUCCCCAGUGAGGGGGAAGGAGCAUCUCCGUGCCUCCCCCCUCCGCUUCCCGCCCGGCGCCGGCCCCCACCGGCCCCCACCGGCCCCGGCCGGGCUGAGGCCACGUCUUCCCCGGGGCCCCCUCUCCAGCGCUGAGGGGGAGGCGGUGGGAGGGAGGAGCUCCGGCCGCAGCCGCCCGCCCUCCCCUCCCCGACGCUCCCCCUCCCCUCCCUUCCCUUCGGCUGCCGCAGCCCCGUUCGUGGCGCGCGUCAGCUUGGGCUCCCCGGAGCGAGUCGCUAGGUAACGGGGCUGGCUCCGCAGACCCGCGGCCGGGGAAGCCCGCGCGCGCCGUCAGCAGCCGCGCCGCGGGGCGCGGGCGGCGACGCACGGACCCUCCCGCAUCCCGGCCGCAGACCCCGACUCGCCCGCGGCCCCCCUCCCAGGAUGCCUUAACCGGCGCGGAUCGCCACCGCCCAGGUGCCCCUCCCUCGCAGGGACCCCGACGCCGCCGGCCCCCUCCUCCUUCCCAGCCGGUGCGCACCGCUCUGCGCGCGGCCGGGUGGGCGCCCCACCGCCGCGGUCACCGUCGCCGCCGAUCCUCCCGCCGAGCCCCUGCGCGGGGCAUGAGGAGCCCCGGGGCGCCGCCCGGAGACGACCCGGCUGCGCGCACACCUCGCCAGCGGCGGACGGGGACAUGAGCGGCGCGCGCGGGGUCCGGCGCCCGGCGGCCAGCCCCAGCCGGCGGCGGCCAGCGGGUCAGCGCUGCCCGGGAGAAUGAGGCAGGAGCCCGCGGCAGCCUCCUCCUUCUUCUCCUCUUCCUCCUCCUCCUCCUCCUCUUCGCCUUCCUUCGGCUCCGGCGCCUCGGGCCCGGGCCGGGCUGUGGCUCUGCUGCGUGCCCCGCGCGCCCCCCGCCCGCCUCCGGAUGCGCUGCUCGAUUCCUGCUCUGUGUACGCUGACCAGGCCUUUACGGAGAGUCCCCGCAGGCGGGAGGAUGACGGUACACAAGGUGUUCCUUGCCUUCAGCUGACCCCGAGACCGUCGGGAACCGUGUCGUGUAACCACCUGUAGCUCGUUAGAGUGGUCGGCGCGCCUGAGCAGAGGUUAGCCUGGGGCGGAAGAUAAAGACAUUUGCCACCAAGAUGGUAAUCACGAGUGGAAAUGAUGAGGACAGAGGAGGCCAGGAGAGAGAGAGUAAGGAAGAGAGCGUCUUGGCGAUGCUGGGGAUCAUCGGGACCAUUCUGAACCUGAUUGUUAUCAUAUUUGUAUACAUAUACACCACUCUGUGAAUGGCUCAGAGGGUGCUGAGGGGCCUCGGGGAUGGCCGAGUGACGGGAGUCCUGUGUGUCGGCAGGUGACUGAUCGGACGCUGCCGUGCAAGCGAGCAGGCCUGACCUACACACGCUGCUCAAGCAAAUGCACCUUCGAACUGUAGAAGAGGUCACAAAAACAAACCACUCCUGCUACGAAGAGCAGACACUAAAGCACAAUGAACCCAACAAAACUCAUUCACACGACAAGGAACUCAACGUCUUUGGCCCGGGGCCCGAAAGAACACUCAGAAGACCAGCCUUUGACGCCAUGGGUGAGCGGAUGGGUGCAGAAACUCCUCAUCCCGGGUCUCUGAUGGAUUUCACGCAUUGGAAAGGAGGAACAGGGAGGGCGAGGCUCAUCGGUGUGUCUCCUGGGACACGGGCUUCACCUUAACUCGACGACGAGCCGUUCGGGACGAGAAACCACAGGGGCAACCCUCUGACAGAAUCCCAUCCAUCAAAAGUGGCUAACUAUUUGAUACUGGGGAGAUAACUUAUUUUUCUUUUUUCAUUGGCUUGACGUGUGUAUCUGUUCAUAUCAACGUUUAUAAAUAUAUAUUUUUAAUAAAUGUGCUCUAUUUUUUAGCAUGAACCAAAUAUUUGGAGAGGCGCUCCUCGAGUCCUCGAGCUUUCGUUGGUUUUAUCUGCUUCGCCCCGUAGACUGCAGGUGUUGUGUGGCAUAGCCGUUCUAGUCCUGCUUCGAACAUCUUGACUCUUUUCCCUUCCCCCCCUCUCUCUCUUUCUCUCUCUCUGUCUCUCUCUCUCUCUCUUUGGUCUGGAGGACAUUUUUCCAUAGUACCAGCCCUGAUCCUGGUGGAUGCAUGUUUUAAGAUUGUCCGAUGAGCGGCUUUUUGUUGUUAUAUGGGAGAUCUAAAACGAUUGUGGGCAUGUGGACCUCAGUCGCACCAUAUCCUUACUGAGAAUUUUGCAUGAACGAGGACUGAGCGAUAGAUCAGCUUCGAAAAAAGUAAAAAGGACUGUCAUUGAAGAGGAGAGGGCAGCUACGUUCACAGAUCAAUUCUAGGACGGAAUCGUCGGCUUCUUAUUGCCAGCAUUAUUUUUUCAUUCUGGUGACAUCGAUCAGAUUUUUAUUUUAGCGGCCACAUACCGUGCACGUUAGGGAGAACGAGGAGGGAAGGCCAGCACAGGGGCAUAAUUCCUUCCUUAGUUAGCGAGCUGCCUGGGACCUUUUUCAGAGGAGGUGGGGUGUAAAUGGCACGUGGGCUGUCCAGCGUGAGAGCUCACGUGGCUCUUUCGGGCUCUGCAAGGACACCCCCGUGACAGGUGACUUUUUAAGGGCACUAGAAGGGGAUGCAGCGAUCACCCGAAAAGAUCGCUGUGCUUCCUAAAGCUCCUGGUUUACAGCCACACAAAGCUACUUCCUCCCUGGUAGGGAUGGGUGAGUAUAUACAAAUUUGCCCUCUGCUCCUGGCUCCCUGAGAAGGGCCUUUGCCUGGCUGUGGCGACAUACCCUGACAAAGAGGGUCACGGUUCCUUUUGCCGGUGCCAGACUUGCCCGUGGACGAAAGAAGCAGCAGCUCGCCUAGUUGGGUUCAAAUGAUGCCCAGGAGGUCGCUACCGCCAGAUCUCUCCCUCCCCUUGUGGUGGUGUCUGAAAUUCCACCAUUAGAGAGUCACUUCUUGUGCUCUUUUAAGGGACCAGGUUCUUUUAUAAAGCAGAUGCCCCCAAGCACCUGACUCUGACGGUAUUCAUCAGGUGUCUUCUCUUCCCUCCCAGAAGGAAGUAGACAUGCAUUUAGGGCACACUGUGUGCCAGAGACUUUAUAUUCCUUAGGUCACUGAAAUCCCCCUAUAACCCUGUAAUCCCCCUGCGAGAUGGGAGGGGCUCUUUUCCCACCAUUUGUAAUAGAAAGAGCUCCGAGAGAUCAGGAAACUUCCCCGAGAUCAGGUGGCUGAAUCUGCCCAGAUCUGCCCGAUUCCUCAGCCCAGUGAGGGCUGCGGGGCUGCUAGAGAGAGAGAUGAUGCACAGGAGGGGAAGGCACAAGAAAGAAAGGGCCCUCAGGGUCAUUCACAAACCCGAUGGCUUUGUGAAAGUCCAGUUCUGCACAUCUCACCCCCCCCUUCCUCCAUAAAAAUAAAUAACCCUUGGGAACUCCUUGGACACUGGCAGAAUAUCAUACAAGUAAGGACGAGGGACAAGAGGAGUCUGGUUGGGAAUAAAAUGGGCUGUCAGGGGGAGGGAGCCAUCUACCAGGUUGUGUGUGAUUCUGGAAAGACUGUAUGAAAAUUCUGAACAGUGAACAGAGUAAACAAUAAAGGUGCAAUGGAUUAAAAAAAUACUA